GCAUGGUGGGUUUAUUCGAAGCAACGCGAAGAACCUUACCAGGUCUUGACAUCCUCUGACAACUCUAGAGAUAGAGCGUUCCCCUUCGGGGGACAGAGUGACAGGUGGUGCAUGGUUGUCGUCAGCUCGUGUCGUGAGAUGUUGGGUUAAGUCCCGCAACGAGCGCAACCCUUGAUCUUAGUUGCCAGCAUUUAGUUGGGCACUCUAAGGUGACUGCCGGUGACAAACCGGAGGAAGGUGGGGAUGACGUCAAAUCAUCAUGCCCCUUAUGACCUGGGCUACACACGUGCUACAAUGGAUGGUACAAAGGGCUGCAAGACCGCGAGGUCAAGCCAAUCCCAUAAAACCAUUCUCAGUUCGGAUUGUAGGCUGCAACUCGCCUACAUGAAGCUGGAAUCGCUAGUAAUCGCGGAUCAGCAUGCCGCGGUGAAUACGUUCCCGGGCCUUGUACACACCGCCCGUCACACCACGAGAGUUUGUAACACCCGAAGUCGGUGGAGUAACCGUAAGGAGCUAGCCGCCUAAGGUGGGACAGAUGAUUGGGGUGAAGUCGUAACAAGGGUAGCCGUA
RNAcentral lists this ribosomal RNA (570 nucleotides) under Bacillus sp. (in: firmicutes). RNAcentral describes it as "bacterial SSU rRNA". It matches the Rfam family "Bacterial small subunit ribosomal RNA", at positions 937 to 1504 of the family's 1533-position model. The record is from RNAcentral. Lineage: Bacteria; Bacillati; Bacillota; Bacilli; Caryophanales; Bacillaceae.